UAGGACUCUAUCCCUUGCACCACCUCAAUUGUCUCACACCAUUUCUUACCGUGCAAAAUCAGUUUAUGUAUGAGAAAACUAGAAAAUAAUCUUUCUUUUUUCACUCAUUAAGGAUAGGAAUUGGUUGGUUUUGAUUUGAAUUCAAAUUAGUUUGAAUUUCAACUUAAAACCUUAUCCAUAUCCUUCUACACAUUGGCUACUUUUGAAG
This 208-nucleotide long non-coding RNA is filed under the name Elaeis guineensis (African oil palm). Its description in RNAcentral is "long non-coding RNA (EGUI_LNC063137)". Lineage: Eukaryota; Viridiplantae; Streptophyta; Magnoliopsida; Arecales; Arecaceae. The record is from RNAcentral.